UACGGAGGGGGCUAGCGUUGUUCGGAAUUACUGGGCGUAAAGCGCACGUAGGCGGCUUUGUACGUUAGAGGUGAAAGCCCAGGGCUUAACCCUGGAAUUGCCUUUAAGACUGCAUCGCUAGAAUCGUGGAGAGGUAAGUGGAAUUCCGAGUGUAGAGGUGAAAUUCGUAGAUAUUCGGAAGAACACCAGUGGCGAAGGCGACUUACUGGACACGUAUUGACGCUGAGGUGCGAAAGCGUGGGGAGCAAACAGG
RNAcentral lists this ribosomal RNA (253 nucleotides) under uncultured bacterium. Its description in RNAcentral is "partial 16S ribosomal RNA". It matches the Rfam family "Bacterial small subunit ribosomal RNA", at positions 524 to 776 of the family's 1533-position model. The record is from RNAcentral.